AGUGAACGCUGGCGGUAGGCCUAACACAUGCAAGUCGAACGGCAGCACAGUAAGAGCUUGCUCUUACGGGUGGCGAGUGGCGGAUGGGUGAGGAAUACAUCGGAAUCUACUUUUGCGUGGGGGAUAACAGAGGGAAACUUACGCUAAUACCGCAUACGACGUACGGGUGAAAGCAGGGGAUCUUCGGACCUUGGGCGAUUGAAUGAGCCGAUGUCGGAUUAGCUAGUUGGCGGGGUAAAGGCCCACCAAGGCGACGAUCCGUAGCUGGUCUGAGAGGAUGAUCAGCCACACUGGAACUGAGACACGGUCCAGACUCCUACGGGAGGCAGCAGUGGGGAAUAUUGGACAAUGGGCGCAAGCCUGAUCCAGCCAUACCGCGUGCGUGACGAAGGCCUUCGGGUUGUAAAGCCCUUUUGUUCGGAAAGAAAAGCAGCAGGUUAAUACCCCGCUGUUAUGACGGUACCCAAAGAAUAAGCACCGGCUAACUACGUG
RNAcentral lists this ribosomal RNA (492 nucleotides) under uncultured bacterium. RNAcentral describes it as "partial 16S ribosomal RNA". It matches the Rfam family "Bacterial small subunit ribosomal RNA", at positions 29 to 507 of the family's 1533-position model. The record is from RNAcentral.